UGCGCAGGUGGGAAUGUAAGUCAGUGGUGAAAUGUUGCCGCUCAACGGUAAAAUUGCCAUUGAUACUGCAUCUCUUGAGUAUGGUUGAGGUAGGCGGAAUGUGUUGUAUAGCGGUGAAAUGCAUAGAUAUGACACAGAACACCGAUUGCGAAGGCAGCUUACUAAGCCAUUACUGACGCUGAGGCACGAAAGCGUGGGGAGCGAACAGGAUUAGAUACCCUGGUAGUCC
This 229-nucleotide ribosomal RNA is filed under the name uncultured bacterium. RNAcentral's name for it is "partial 16S ribosomal RNA". It matches the Rfam family "Bacterial small subunit ribosomal RNA", at positions 568 to 796 of the family's 1533-position model. The record is from RNAcentral.